UGGAAAUUGUAAAUUAUUGUGUUUGAUUGUAUAAAUUUUUCACGUGGAAAAUGUUGAAGUAAAAGUAUUUUUUGAUGUUCGUUUGACUUUGUUUUACGUGGAAAUUGUCAAUUUCAGGGAUAUCCUCUUUUACAAUUAUUCCUAAAAUUUGUUCCCAUUGCCAACAAUUAAAAAAAAAAUAAAAAAAGCUAAAAAAAAAAUAAAAAAAAAGGUGGAAAACCAAAAACCACCUAUCCCCUAGGAAAAAAAAGGUGGAAAAUCACGCUUUAAGGUGUUGUACCUAGAAAUUCAUGGAAAAUCAAUUCCCUGGAAAAUUUUGUCAAUCAAACAGGCCAAAAGUGAAAGUUGGAAUUCGAAUUCCAAGUUCCAUGGAAAAUUUCGUGCAAUCAAACGGGGCCUUA
This 401-nucleotide long non-coding RNA is filed under the name Olea europaea (common olive). RNAcentral describes it as "long non-coding RNA (OEUR_LNC012126)". Lineage: Eukaryota; Viridiplantae; Streptophyta; Magnoliopsida; Lamiales; Oleaceae. The record is from RNAcentral.